RNAcentral lists this transfer RNA (83 nucleotides) under Heterocephalus glaber (naked mole-rat). The stretch from base 1 to 61 matches the Rfam family "tRNA". From Rfam's summary of the family: Transfer RNA (tRNA) molecules are approximately 80 nucleotides in length. Their secondary structure includes four short double-helical elements and three loops (D, anti-codon, and T loops). Lineage: Eukaryota; Metazoa; Chordata; Mammalia; Rodentia; Bathyergidae. The record is from Rfam by way of RNAcentral.
GGGCAUGUGACUCAGUGGUAGAGCACUUGCCUUACAUGCAAGAGACCAUGGGCUGUGUCCUCAGCACUACACAUGCACACCCA